RNAcentral lists this ribosomal RNA (580 nucleotides) under uncultured bacterium. RNAcentral describes it as "bacterial SSU rRNA". It matches the Rfam family "Bacterial small subunit ribosomal RNA", at positions 331 to 929 of the family's 1533-position model. The record is from RNAcentral.
CCAGACUCCUAGGGAGGCAGCAGUGGGGAAUAUUGGACAAUGGACCAAGAGUCUGAUCCAGCAAUUCUGUGUGCACGAUGAAGUUUUUCGGAAUGUAAAGUGCUUUCAGUUGGGAAGAAAGAAAUGACGGUACCAACAGAAGAAGUGACGGCUAAAUACGUGCCAGCAGCCGCGGUAAUACGUAUGUCACGAGCGUUAUCCGGAUUUAUUGGGCGUAAAGCGCGUCUAGGUGGUUAUAUAAGUCUGAUGUGAAAAUGCAGGGCUCAACUCUGUAUUGCGUUGGAAACUGUAUAACUAGAGUACUGGAGAGGUAAGCGGAACUACAAGUGUAGAGGUGAAAUUCGUAGAUAUUUGUAGGAAUGCCGAUGGGGAAGCCAGCUUACUGGACAGAUACUGACGCUGAAGCGCGAAAGCGUGGGUAGCAAACAGGAUUAGAUACCCUGGUAGUCCACGCCGUAAACGAUGAUUACUAGGUGUUGGGGGUCGAACCUCAGCGCCCAAGCAAACGCGAUAAGUAAUCCGCCUGGGGAGUACGUACGCAAGUAUGAAACUCAAAGGAAUUGACGGGGGCCCGCACAAG